RNAcentral lists this ribosomal RNA (2923 nucleotides) under Escherichia coli. RNAcentral's name for it is "23S ribosomal RNA". It matches the Rfam family "Bacterial large subunit ribosomal RNA". Lineage: Bacteria; Pseudomonadati; Pseudomonadota; Gammaproteobacteria; Enterobacterales; Enterobacteriaceae. The record is from RNAcentral.
GGGUUGUGAGGUUAAGCGACUAAGCGUACACGGUGGAUGCCCUGGCAGUCAGAGGCGAUGAAGGACGUGCUAAUCUGCGAUAAGCGUCGGUAAGGUGAUAUGAACCGUUAUAACCGGCGAUUUCCGAAUGGGGAAACCCAGUGUGUUUCGACACACUAUCAUUAACUGAAUCCAUAGGUUAAUGAGGCGAACCGGGGGAACUGAAACAUCUAAGUACCCCGAGGAAAAGAAAUCAACCGAGAUUCCCCCAGUAGCGGCGAGCGAACGGGGAGCAGCCCAGAGCCUGAAUCAGUGUGUGUGUUAGUGGAAGCGUCUGGAAAGGCGCGCGAUACAGGGUGACAGCCCCGUACACAAAAAUGCACAUAUUGUGAGCUCGAUGAGUAGGGCGGGACACGUGGUAUCCUGUCUGAAUAUGGGGGGACCAUCCUCCAAGGCUAAAUACUCCUGACUGACCGAUAGUGAACCAGUACCGUGAGGGAAAGGCGAAAAGAACCCCGGCGAGGGGAGUGAAAAAGAACCUGAAACCGUGUACGUACAAGCAGUGGGAGCACGCUUAGGCGUGUGACUGCGUACCUUUUGUAUAAUGGGUCAGCGACUUAUAUUCUGUAGCAAGGUUAACCGAAUAGGGGAGCCGAAGGGAAACCGAGUCUUAACUGGGCGUUAAGUUGCAGGGUAUAGACCCGAAACCCGGUGAUCUAGCCAUGGGCAGGUUGAAGGUUGGGUAACACUAACUGGAGGACCGAACCGACUAAUGUUGAAAAAUUAGCGGAUGACUUGUGGCUGGGGGUGAAAGGCCAAUCAAACCGGGAGAUAGCUGGUUCUCCCCGAAAGCUAUUUAGGUAGCGCCUCGUGAAUUCAUCUCCGGGGGUAGAGCACUGUUUCGGCAAGGGGGUCAUCCCGACUUACCAACCCGAUGCAAACUGCGAAUACCGGAGAAUGUUAUCACGGGAGACACACGGCGGGUGCUAACGUCCGUCGUGAAGAGGGAAACAACCCAGACCGCCAGCUAAGGUCCCAAAGUCAUGGUUAAGUGGGAAACGAUGUGGGAAGGCCCAGACAGCCAGGAUGUUGGCUUAGAAGCAGCCAUCAUUUAAAGAAAGCGUAAUAGCUCACUGGUCGAGUCGGCCUGCGCGGAAGAUGUAACGGGGCUAAACCAUGCACCGAAGCUGCGGCAGCGACACUGUGUGUUGUUGGGUAGGGGAGCGUUCUGUAAGCCUGUGAAGGUGUGCUGUGAGGCAUGCUGGAGGUAUCAGAAGUGCGAAUGCUGACAUAAGUAACGAUAAAGCGGGUGAAAAGCCCGCUCGCCGGAAGACCAAGGGUUCCUGUCCAACGUUAAUCGGGGCAGGGUGAGUCGACCCCUAAGGCGAGGCCGAAAGGCGUAGUCGAUGGGAAACAGGUUAAUAUUCCUGUACUUGGUGUUACUGCGAAGGGGGGACGGAGAAGGCUAUGUUGGCCGGGCGACGGUUGUCCCGGUUUAAGCGUGUAGGCUGGUUUUCCAGGCAAAUCCGGAAAAUCAAGGCUGAGGCGUGAUGACGAGGCACUACGGUGCUGAAGCAACAAAUGCCCUGCUUCCAGGAAAAUCCUCUAAGCAUCAGGUAACAUCAAAUCGUACCCCAAACCGACACAGGUGGUCAGGUAGAGAAUACCAAGGCGCUUGAGAGAACUCGGGUGAAGGAACUAGGCAAAAUGGUGCCGUAACUUCGGGAGAAGGCACGCUGAUAUGUAGGUGAAGCGACUUGCUCGUGGAGCUGAAAUCAGUCGAAGAUACCAGCUGGCUGCAACUGUUUAUUAAAAACACAGCACUGUGCAAACACGAAAGUGGACGUAUACGGUGUGACGCCUGCCCGGUGCCGGAAGGUUAAUUGAUGGGGUCAGCGCAAGCGAAGCUCUUGAUCGAAGCCCCGGUAAACGGCGGCCGUAACUAUAACGGUCCUAAGGUAGCGAAAUUCCUUGUCGGGUAAGUUCCGACCUGCACGAAUGGCGUAAUGAUGGCCAGGCUGUCUCCACCCGAGACUCAGUGAAAUUGAACUCGCUGUGAAGAUGCAGUGUACCCGCGGCAAGACGGAAAGACCCCGUGAACCUUUACUAUAGCUUGACACUGAACAUUGAGCCUUGAUGUGUAGGAUAGGUGGGAGGCUUAGAAGUGUGGACGCCAGUCUGCAUGGAGCCGACCUUGAAAUACCACCCUUUAAUGUUUGAUGUUCUAACGUUGACCCGUAAUCCGGGUUGCGGACAGUGUCUGGUGGGUAGUUUGACUGGGGCGGUCUCCUCCUAAAGAGUAACGGAGGAGCACGAAGGUUGGCUAAUCCUGGUCGGACAUCAGGAGGUUAGUGCAAUGGCAUAAGCCAGCUUGACUGCGAGCGUGACGGCGCGAGCAGGUGCGAAAGCAGGUCAUAGUGAUCCGGUGGUUCUGAAUGGAAGGGCCAUCGCUCAACGGAUAAAAGGUACUCCGGGGAUAACAGGCUGAUACCGCCCAAGAGUUCAUAUCGACGGCGGUGUUUGGCACCUCGAUGUCGGCUCAUCACAUCCUGGGGCUGAAGUAGGUCCCAAGGGUAUGGCUGUUCGCCAUUUAAAGUGGUACGCGAGCUGGGUUUAGAACGUCGUGAGACAGUUCGGUCCCUAUCUGCCGUGGGCGCUGGAGAACUGAGGGGGCUGCUCCUAGUACGAGAGGACCGGAGUGGACGCAUCACUGGUGUUCGGGUUGUCAUGCCAAUGGCACUGCCCGGUAGCUAAAUGCGGAAGAGAUAAGUGCUGAAAGCAUCUAAGCACGAAACUUGCCCCGAGAUGAGUUCUCCCUGACCCUUUAAGGGUCCUGAAGGAACGUUGAAGACGACGACGUUGAUAGGCCGGGUGUGUAAGCGCAGCGAUGCGUUGAGCUAACCGGUACUAAUGAACCGUGAGGCUUAACCUUACAACGCCGAAG